RNAcentral lists this ribosomal RNA (460 nucleotides) under uncultured bacterium. RNAcentral describes it as "partial 16S ribosomal RNA". It matches the Rfam family "Bacterial small subunit ribosomal RNA", at positions 338 to 795 of the family's 1533-position model. The record is from RNAcentral.
CCUACGGGAGGCAGCAGUGAGGAAUAUUGGUCAAUGGCCGAGAGGCUGAAUCAGCCAAGUCGCGUGAGGGAAGACGGCCCUACGGGUUGUAAACCUCUUUUGUCGGGGAGCAAAUCGAACCACGUGUGGUUCAUUGAGAGUACCCGAAGAAAAAGCAUCGGCUAACUCCGUGCCAGCAGCCGCGGUAAUACGGAGGAUGCGAGCGUUAUCCGGAUUUACUGGGUGUAAAGGGAGCGUAGACGGUUAAUCAAGUCAGAAGUGAAAACCCAGGGCUCAACCUUGGGACUGCUUUUGAAACUGAGUAGCUAGAGUGCAGGAGAGGUAAGCGGAAUUCCUAGUGUAGCGGUGAAAUGCGUAGAUAUUAGGAGGAACACCAGUGGCGAAGGCGGCUUACUGGACUGUAACUGACGUUGAGGCUCGAAAGCGUGGGGAGCAAACAGGAUUAGAUACCCCGGUAGUC